RNAcentral lists this ribosomal RNA (406 nucleotides) under uncultured bacterium. RNAcentral's name for it is "partial 16S ribosomal RNA". It matches the Rfam family "Bacterial small subunit ribosomal RNA", at positions 29 to 526 of the family's 1533-position model. The record is from RNAcentral.
AUUGAACGCUGGCGGCAGGCCUAACACAUGCAAGUCGAACGAGUGGCGGACGGGUGAGUAAUGUCUGGGAAACUGCCCGAUGGAGGGGGAUAACUACUGGAAACGGUAGCUAAUACCGCAUACCAUCGGAUGUGCCCAGAUGGGAUUAGCUAGUAGGUGGGGUAACGGAUCACCUAGGCGACGAGCCCUAGCUGGUCUGAGAGGAUGACAAGCCACACGGGAACUAAGACACGGGCCAGACUCCUACGGGAGGAAGCAGUGGGGAAUAUUGCACAAUGGGCGCAAGCCUGAUGCAGCCAUGCCGCGUGGUGGAAGAAGGCCUUCGGGUUGGAAAGUACUUUCAGCGAGGAGGCGGGACUCGCAGAAGAAGCACCGGCUAACUCCGUGCCAGCAGCCGCGGUAAUGC